CAGCAGCCGCGGUAAUACGGAGGAUCCGAGCGUUAUCCGGAUUUAUUGGGUUUAAAGGGUGCGUAGGCGGCCUUGUAAGUCAGGGGUGAAAGACGGUAGCUCAACUAUCGCAGUGCCUUUGAUACUGCAGGGCUUGAAUGUACUUGAGGUAGGCGGAAUGUGACAAGUAGCGGUGAAAUGCAUAGAUAUGUCACAGAACACCAAUUGCGAAGGCAGCUUACUAAAGUAUGAUUGACGCUGAGGCACGAAAGCGUGGGGAUCAAACGGGAUUAGAUACCCCUGUAGUCCCUGUCUCUUAUAA
RNAcentral lists this ribosomal RNA (301 nucleotides) under uncultured bacterium. RNAcentral describes it as "partial 16S ribosomal RNA". It matches the Rfam family "Bacterial small subunit ribosomal RNA", at positions 509 to 809 of the family's 1533-position model. The record is from RNAcentral.